CCUACCGUGGCUAUGACGGGUAACGGGGAAUUAGGGUUCGAUUCCGGAGAGGGAGCCUGAGAAACGGCUACCACAUCUAAGGAAGGCAGCAGGCGCGCAAAUUACCCAAUCCUAAUACAGGGAGGUAGUGACAAGAAAUAACAAUACAGAGCCUUACGGUUUUGUAAUUGGAAUGAGUUAAGUAUAAACCCCUUAACAAGUAUCAAUUGGAGGGCAAGUCUGGUGCCAGCAGCCGCGGUAAUUCCAGCUCCAAUAGCGUAUAUUAAAGUUGUUGCAGUUAAAAAGCUCGUAGUUAAUUUUCUGUUAAUUUUUAUAUACAAUGCUACGGUAUUUAUAUAAUAUUAACAUAAUUCAUAUUACUUUUUAGUAUAUGAAACUUUACUUUGAGAAAAUUAGAGUGCUUAAAGCAGGCUAUUGCCUUGAAUACUCCAGCAUGGAAUAAUAUUAAGGAUUUUUAUUCUUCUUAUUGGUUCUAGAAUAAAAAUAAUGAUUAAUAGGGACAGUUGGGGGCAUUUGUAUUUAACAGUCAGAGGUGAAAUUCUUAGAUUUGUUAAAGACAAACUACUGCGAAAGCAUUUGCCAAGGAUGUUUUCAUUAAUCAAGAACGAAAGUUAGGGGAUCGAAGACGAUCAGAUACCGUCGUAGUCUUAACCAUAAACUAUGCCAACUAGAGAUUGGAGGUU
Molecule: ribosomal RNA, 683 nt
Filed under: Cryptosporidium ryanae
Lineage: Eukaryota; Apicomplexa; Conoidasida; Eucoccidiorida; Cryptosporidiidae
Description: SSU rRNA
Rfam family: Eukaryotic small subunit ribosomal RNA
Source: RNAcentral